Molecule: long non-coding RNA, 1869 nt
Filed under: Homo sapiens (human)
Lineage: Eukaryota; Metazoa; Chordata; Mammalia; Primates; Hominidae
Description: HSALNT0375504
Source: RNAcentral
GUUUCAUUCUCUCACCCAGGCUGGAGCACAGCGGCAUAUCAGGGAUUGUUCAUCCAUAUGGCUCCAAAUGAAAAUUACAUUAAUUAUGGAUGAAGAGUAUUGUGUUGUGCAGAUAUACUGCAGUUUCUUCAUCCCUUCAUCUAUGGAUGGACAGGUUUCUCCAUCUUGCUGGUAGUGAACUGAUGUCCGGAAGUUUGAUGGCCGAAGAGUAUACCGUUGUGCAUAUAUCCUUCAAUUCCUGAUUUUAUCAUCUGUAGAAAGACAAAAAUCUUCAGACUGAUUUCCACAGUUUGAGAUCUAGUUUGCAUUACCUCCAAGAGAAUAGCCAUGUUUGCUUUUCUCUGCUGCCACACCAGCAUGUUAUGUUUUGACUUAGGACAAAUGGCCACUCUGACCAGCGUGUGAUGGCACCGGUACCUCAUCUCUGAUGAUUGGUGAUGUUGAGCAUUCCCCACGCCUGUUGGAAUGGCAAUCCCUUGGAAAUGUCUUCUCAAUAGUUACUACCCAUAGGUAUGUUGCUCAGGCCACUGUGUGGCCCCAGCACUUGGUUUGCAUAGGGACUUGGGGAUUGUUUGUCAUCAUUAGCCGGGACAAAUGUUACACUGCUGUUCCUACAGUGAGUAGUGGGAGUGGCGUAUGGGGGCAUAUGCUUAUGUCCACAGUUCCAUCAGAAAUCCCACUGCCUUAAGACAGUCUUACGGAAACCGAGUCCCAGCCUUGCAGCACCGGGUAGCCCUGUGGCAUUUUGACAUUGAGUGUGUCUGCAUUGUUGAAGUCACUCAGCAUGUUGCCAUGCGUUUAUCCACUUAGGUCAACGUUAAGGGAAGUUCAUCGCCUCUGCUUCUUCAGUAACUGAUGUCUGGUGCAUCAACUGAAUGCAUUUCAGGCUUUUCAGCAGUUCCCCCAGAUCUAUGGGUAAAAAAAGGUUUUCACCAUGCCCACCUCCCCAGUGAGUGACCAAUGUCUCAUUGUUAAUGCAUCUGAUGCACAGAGUUUAGUGGUCUGAGGGAGGUCAGUCGCCAAGCGGAGAUUGAAAUCACAUUUGUAUUUACAUUAUUACUUUUCUACAGUUUGGUUUGUUGCAGGCUUUCACACUACUAAUCUGGGCUGAAUCCUUGAAUUACUUUGUCUACCAAGGGUUUCAAAGAACUUGAUAAACUUGUUCUAAUUAGCCAACAUAUUCAUCCAUGUUGUCCGUAUACCAGGUGUAAAAAUAAAACGUUUCUUAAUGCACACAGGACAUGGAAGGCAAUCUACACAUUUUCAGGUGUAGACUUUGCUUGUGACUCUUUUGUGAGGAAUAGUCAUUGUUAUUUUAGGAAAACCCUGAGUUUAUCCAACUCUUGUUAGAAUUGGAUAAGUGUAAAAACCUACAAUAGAAUGCAAGUGUGAGAGCCAAUUCCUCUGGUAAAAUAAACUCAUAUUAUUAUUUAUAUAUGUCUGGUCAUUGUAUUAAUAAAAUCAGUUUGUUUUGGCUGAAACACAUGGUUGGCCUUUACAAUAGAUGUGAAAAUGGGCUUAUAGAUCAUUGCUCUUUAUUGUGAAUAUUAGGUUGUAUUUAUUGCCAAACUCUUUCAACAGCUUCUAAGCAGUGAAUUUUCAGUGCAUUGUUGUUGUUCUCCAAGUACAAGCAGCCACUUCAGUUUUACCACAUUCAUCUUCCACACACUGAUGAACCAUAUGGAGGCAGCAGGAAUUGAAGUAGAACCAGAGGGAGUAGUUAGGACAGACAUUCUGAUUCAUUCAUUCUGAUUCUCACUAUUGUCAGUGAGUAAAGGUUCAUUGAAUUUUUCUUCUGAUGAAUAAAAUGGUCAGUUUUCUCAGUGCAAUGGCUUACUUUUGGAAGAGCAGCUCUAAAGACUUUACUAC